This 211-nucleotide non-coding RNA is filed under the name Mycobacterium sp. The record is from RNAcentral. Lineage: Bacteria; Bacillati; Actinomycetota; Actinomycetes; Mycobacteriales; Mycobacteriaceae.
GUCGUCCGCGACGGAGUAGGCGUCGAGCGAAGCAUGUUAGACGUGCUUCGUAAGAGGGAACCCGGUGAGAGUCCGGGACUGUCCCGCAGCGGUAUGCAGGAACGACCGCCGUCAAUAGCACUGAUCUCGCGAUCGGGAAGCGACGGCCAUUAGGAGCACCACCAGGUGCGCGCCUGUGAGUCCGAAGACCUGCCGACCGUGCCGGGCGCGC